RNAcentral lists this ribosomal RNA (468 nucleotides) under uncultured bacterium. Its description in RNAcentral is "partial 16S ribosomal RNA". It matches the Rfam family "Bacterial small subunit ribosomal RNA", at positions 28 to 507 of the family's 1533-position model. The record is from RNAcentral.
GAUGAACGCUGGCGGCGUGCUUAACACAUGCGAGUCGAACGGAAAGGCCCAAGCUUGCUUGGGUACUCGAGUGGCGAACGGGUGAGUAACACGUGGGUGAUCUGCCCUGCACUUCGGGAUAAGCCUGGGAAACUGGGUCUAAUACCGGAUAGGACGAUGGUUUGGAUGCCAUUGUGGAAAGUUUUUUCGGUGUGGGAUGAGCUCGCGGCCUAUCAGCUUGUUGGUGGGGUAAUGGCCUACCAAGGCGUCGACGGGUAGCCGGCCUGAGAGGGUGUACGGCCACAUUGGGACUGAGAUACGGCCCAGACUCCUACGGGAGGCAGCAGUGGGGAAUAUUGCACAAUGGGCGCAAGCCUGAUGCAGUGACGCCGCGUGGGGGAUGACGGCCUUCGGGUUGUAAACUCCUUUCGCUAGGGACGAAGCGUUUUUGUGACGGUACCUGGAGAAGAAGCACCGGCUAACUACGUG